RNAcentral lists this ribosomal RNA (648 nucleotides) under Acidobacteriota bacterium. RNAcentral's name for it is "bacterial SSU rRNA". It matches the Rfam family "Bacterial small subunit ribosomal RNA", at positions 893 to 1533 of the family's 1533-position model. Lineage: Bacteria; Pseudomonadati; Acidobacteriota. The record is from RNAcentral.
GCUGAAACUCAAAGGAAUUGACGGGGGCCCGCACAAGCGGUGGAGCAUGUGGUUCAAUUCGACGCAACGCGAAGAACCUUACCUGGGCUCGAACGGCUGGUUAACGGCGGUGGAAACAUCGCUACCCCGCAAGGGGAUCCAGUCGAGGUGCUGCAUGGCUGUCGUCAGCUCGUGUCGUGAGAUGUUGGGUUAAGUCCCGCAACGAGCGCAACCCUUGUCCUGUGUUGCCAUGCCGAAAGGCGGAACUCGCAGGAGACCGCCAGCGAUAAGCUGGAGGAAGGUGGGGAUGACGUCAAGUCCUCAUGGCCUUUAUGUCCAGGGCUACACACGUGCUACAAUGGACGGUACAAAGCGUCGCUAACCCGCGAGGGGGAGCCAAUCGCAAAAAACCGUUCUCAGUUCGGAUUGCAGGCUGCAACUCGCCUGCAUGAAGCUGGAAUCGCUAGUAAUGGCAGAUCAGCACGCUGCCGUGAAUACGUUCCCGGGCCUUGUACACACCGCCCGUCACAUCACGAAAGUGGAUUGUACUAGAAGUCUGCAGGCUAACCCGCAAGGGAGGCAGCGGCCCAAGGUAUGAUUCAUGAUUGGGGUGAAGUCGUAACAAGGUAGCCGUAGGAGAACCUGCGGCUGGAUCACCUCCUUUCUAAG